CGACGGUACAGGAGAUAGCGGUAGAUAUCUCGCCGUCUAGAGGCACAGUACGACUCUUAAAGCUACAAUCAAGCCUGUUCGCACAUCUUAAAGCCCCAUGAUGUCGUUCUCUCCCUCUCGUUGCGUCUUGCCACGGCCGGAAGACGAGCGGGGUGUGAAUUCCGCCGGGAGGUGGAGGUACGCGAGGUGCGAUGAUUCCUCAGUUCGGAGCAACGGCUGAGAGCCUGAGCAAGGCGUCGUCGCUGGUGCUCCGCAUCGGCACCGACGCCCACCACUACGACGACCCCGAUGACGUCAACAUCGCCCCCCUUCUCGAUAGCCGUUUCGACUCCGAGAAGGUGGACGCCCUUAAGCGCCUUCUGGCUCUCCUCGCCCAGGGCGCCGACGUCUCCCACCACUACCCGCAGGUCGUCAAGAACGUGGCGUCGCAGUCGCUGGAGGUCAAGAAACUCGUGUAUAUGUACCUACUUCAUUGCGCCGAAAAGCGACAGAAUGAAGCUCUCCUGUCUAUUUAUCAGAUACGAAUCCUGUAGUCCGUGCAUGGGCCCUUCGCACUAUGGCAGGAAUCCGUGAACAUGCAGUAGCACCACUUGUGUUGGCAGCUAUUAGUAAGUGUGCUAGAGAUCCAUCUUCCUAUGUCAGGAGAUGUGCUGCCUAUGCACUUCCAAAGUUAUAUGACUUGCACCAUGAUGAAGACAGUGCUGCCCUUGAGGAGCUUGUGGAUAUCUUGUUAAGCGACCAUUCCCUUGGAGUUGUUGGAGCUGCUGCUGUAGCCUUUAAGCCUGUUUGCCCAUCCAGGCUAUAUUUAAUUGCUAAAAGUUUUAGAAGGUUAUGUGAGACACUCCCAGAUGUUGAGGAGUGGAGCCAGAUUGUUUUAAUUAAGAUUCUCUUAAGAUAUGUCAUAGCUAGACAUGGACUUGUCAAAGAGUCCAUUGUUUACUUCAAACUCAGUGUUAACUUCUCAAGAGGAUGAGAAUUUUGCAGCUUUUGGUGGUAUGUCGAAUAAUCAUCGUUGUUCCUUGGCAGGUAUGGCUUGUGACUCCAGUAUUAGUCCAAUGUGUAAAUGUUAUAUCGAAGGACAAAGGGACUGUUUAACCCAGGCUGGAUGCAUGAAAGGAGAAAAUAAUUUGGACCUCCCUCUAACUUCUACCACCAAUGAUGAUGUUGACAUUCUCUUGCAGUGUGCAUCACCCUUCCUAUGGAGUCAUAACAGUGCAGUUGUAUUUGGAGCUGCAACGGUUCAUUGGAUUAUGGCCCCGAGGGAGGAAGUUGAGAGGAUCAUCAAGCCCAUUCUGUUUAUUCUAAGAUCAUUCCAAGCCUCCAAAUAUGUGAUUCUCUGUAACACAUUAGUGUUUGCCAAAGCAGCUCCUCAAAUCUUUUUACCAUAUUAUGAAGAAUUUUUUGUAUGUAGCUCAGAUUCAUACCAAACCAGAGCCUUGAAGCUUGAGAUACUAUCCACUAUAGCCACAGAGUCAUCAGUGCCAAUCAUUUUGGAGGAGUUCGAGGUUUUAUUAUGUGCUCAUGGAGAAGAUUUGUUGACAUUUAGAAAGAUUCUGAGCUAUAUUAUUGAAUUGUCAAAGUACGACUUGAAUUAUGAUGUGCGAGAUCGUGCUUGUUUCAUAUUAAAACUUAUGUCUCACAAUUUGACCUUGUCAUCAGAGGAAGCGAUUACCUCAUUUGCACUGCAGAAUGGAGGGAUUCAUCAUGAGUUUGCGGAAAAGAUUUUUAGUGGAAAAAUACAUUCGGGGAUAGCAAAAAGCUUGCGGAUUUACCUUCCUGGAUCUCUGUCACAGAUUGUUUUUCAUGCUGCUCCUGGUUAUGAACCUCUUCCUCAACCUCGUAGUCUGCAUGCUAAAAAUAUCAAUCUCUGUACAGAGUUUGGCUAUGAGACCAAGCAACCAGAUCUGAAAAUGGACAAAAGCAAUUCAUUUGGAACAGAUGACCCUGAUAUAUCUUCUGGAUCCUUAUUUGAAGAAUGUGGCUCUGUCUACGAUUUUCAUCAUUAUUUCAUUAAGUCAGAUGGUUUGGCAGAGUUGAUAUCUAAGUCAUCAUUGGAGUCAUGGCUGGAUGAGCGACCUGGUUUGACAUCCACACAGAUGCCUCAACAACCUUCUGGCAGAAUAUCUAUUAACAAUCUUAAUUGUACUGUUACACCUAAGCUCCACAUGCUGCUUGAUCCUACAAAUAGUAAUGGCUUGAGGGCGGACUAUGCCUUUUCAUAUGAAAUUUCAACUGUAUCACCAGUACUAGUACUAAUUGAGGUUUUUUUUUUAGAACUGCACUUCUGAACCAUUAGUAACGAUAGCAUUGGAAGAUGGAGAAUCUACAUCGGGUGCAGAUUCUCCAUUCUUCAUAUCAACUGCUGAGAGAAACUGAAAAGUGCUCUCAUGUUCCAUGUCACAUUAUCUGUUUGUUAUUUGAAUUUUGAUUUUAAUUUUUGAGUAUAGUAAAAUUUGCAUCGUAUGAAAUUUAUUAAUUGGUCAUCCCUUAUAUACUCAAGAUGUUCUUUUUUUGUUUCAUUUGUAGCCUGCUUCCAACUGAUAUUGUUCCAUGUAUACUUUCUAUUGAAGAGAUUGCCUCUCUAGAUCCAAGUCAGAGGGUGAAGAAAGUCAUUCAAGUCCGUUUCCAUCAUCAUCUUCUGCCAUUUAAGUUGGCUGUGUUAUGUAAUGGGAAAAAGUAUUUGACAAAGCUGUGGCCUGAUAUUGGGUAUUUUCUUAGACCGCUCUCCAUGAGCUUGAAUGCAUUUAUAGAGAAGGAACGACAAUUACCUAGGAUGUUUGAGUAUUCAAAGAGGUGCACCUUCAGGGACCACAUGGAGAAGAUCGGCAGCGAGAAGGAUGAAAGUUCACUUCAUGCUGAUAAAAUUAUUUUAAUAUCUCAAACUUUAGAAUCUAAGGUUCUCAGCAAUUCUAAUGUUUGCCUUGAAGGCAUGGACAUCCCAGUUUCUUACAUCAUCAAUGAUGCAUCAGGCCUGUGCAUAUGAUUCAGUGGGGAAAUAUUGAGUAACUCGAGACCAUGCCUGAUUACUACUUCAGCUGAGGGCAAGUUCUCUGAACCUCUGGGUAUCAUGGUCAAAAUCAACUGUGAAGAUACUGUUUUCAGCCUUCACCUGCUGAACAGAGUGGCAGCAUUUCGACAAUGAAAGCAGAAUGUUGAUGAUUCCCUCCGUUUCUUUCCACCUUUCUGCCUUGUUCAAGGGUCAGGUUGCAGCUCCGUCAAGAGGCACAUGGUUCUGUAUCCAGAUUCCAGUGUAUCAUAUAAUCCAAGCGAUUGUCAUCUGAUGGGUGAAUGGAUGGUUCAUCCGUUCAGGCCUAUUCGUGAAAGCCAGUGUGGAGAUUUAAUUGGUGGUGUUGCGAGUCGACAUUUUUGUUUCUUUACCCUACUUUUGCGGCUAAGUCGGACUGCAAAUCUCUCACUUCUGCUUGGGUUCAUGCAGUCGACCUGAGCGAUGGGGAUCAGAUUGGUUGUGUAUAUUUUCUCUUUACCUUGUUUCCUUCUUGUCAAGCAUGUACAAGACUAUCUAUACCUAUCAGAAUGCUUCUGUGGCAGAUUCUUGUGGAGUGCCGAGAACAAAAAACAAUGGAAAAUAUGUUGAAUGAAUAGAGGAUGAUUCAUGCCGAAAACACGGAAGAAUAGUGGUGUAUUAGAAUUGUAUCAGAUGUUUAAAUUAAUAAAUAUAGCAGUCAAUGUUGGUGUUUUCA
Molecule: RNA transcript, 3701 nt
Organism: Musa acuminata AAA Group (dessert banana)
Lineage: Eukaryota; Viridiplantae; Streptophyta; Magnoliopsida; Zingiberales; Musaceae
Gene name: AP3-complex subunit beta-A-like
Exons: 8
Source: RefSeq, a predicted model, not a curated record